Molecule: ribosomal RNA, 253 nt
Filed under: uncultured bacterium
Lineage: Bacteria
Description: partial 16S ribosomal RNA
Rfam family: Bacterial small subunit ribosomal RNA
Source: RNAcentral
UACGUAGGGGGCAAGCGUUGUCCGGAAUCAUUGGGCGUAAAGCGCGUGUAGGCGGCCCGGUAAGUCCGCCGUGAAAGUCCAGGGCUCAACCCUGGAAUGCCGGUGGAAACUGCCGGGCUGGAGUCCGGAAGAGGCGAGUGGAAUUCCUGGUGUAGCGGUGAAAUGCGCAGAUAUCAGGAGGAACACCAAUGGCGAAGGCAGCUCGCUGGGACGGUACUGACGCUGAGACGCGAAAGCGUGGGGAGCAAACAGG